AGUUGCCUUCCCCGCUCCCACCCCCAAAUUUUACCCUAAUUCCCAAACUUUUUUCUCACUUCAGUUUACCCUAAGCUCCAUGGAUUGAAUUUCGUCACAUAUUAACGGUGCAAAAGGUACCAACAUUCUUCCAUAUUGAUUCAAUUGCUUUAUUUUACUUCUUUUUUGACGAGAAUAGACUCAGUUCCCUAGAAAAAAAGAAAAAUCUGAAUCUGUAUGUUGCUUUAUUUUACUUCUAUAUAUGUAUGUUGCUUUAUUUUACUUCUAUAUCUGUAUGUUUCUUUAUUUUAUUUCUUUUUUGGUUUCAUCUUUUAGAGUUAAAUGUAAAGAUUGAAAAAUUUCUUUUGCGUUCUAUUCUCUGUUCUUUUUCAUCACUAUGUGAUUGAAUUCUAUUCAUUUGUUUGUUUUCAUCAUUAUGCAAUUGAAUUAGUUUUACUUCAUCUUUAGGUAAAGAUGUCAAUGGAAAGUAUUGAUGAUUCUUGUGAACAAAGCUCUUCAACUACGCUAAAACGAGUAAAAAGACAAACGUCUACUGUUUGGGAUUCUUUUGUUAAGGUAGAAGAGCCUAGUAUUCAUAGUGAUGGAAAGUUUAAAGUCAAAUGUACUCUUUGUGAAAAAGACUAUAUGUACGAUUCUAAAUUUGGAACAUCGAAUUUGAAGUGUCAUUUGCUGAUAAAACAUCCACUGGAUAAUGCAAAAGAGGGACAAAGUGCACCAAUAGAUCAAAAAAUUUAUCGAGAGAAAAUGUCAUUGGCCAUAGUCAGGCAUAACUAUGCUUUCAGUUUUGUAGAACAUAAAGGCAUCAGGGACCUUCAUUUAUACUUAAAUCCCGUUGGCAAGCACAUAUCAAGAAACACAACCAAGUCAGAUAUCUUGAAUAUGUAUGCAGGCGAAAAAGAGUAAACCUUCAUUUAUACUUAAAUCCUGUUGUCAAGCACAUAUCAAGAAACACAGCCAAGUCAGAUAUCUUGAAUAUGUAUGCGGGCGAAAAAGAACUUUUGAAAAGUGAGCUUGCAGUUAUUCCUAGUAGAGUAUAUUUAACCUCAGACAUGUGGACUUCAUUAACAUCUAAUGGGUAUAUGUGUGUUACGGCCCAUUAUGUAGAUUUAAAUUGGGUUCUUCAGAAGAGGGUGUUGAUUUUUCGUCAUGUUCCUCCUCCACAUUCGGGCGCGGUUUUAGGUCCCUUAUUGAUUAGCUUUCUUAAAGAAUGGGGAAUCGAAAAGAAAAUCUUCACCCUUACUAUGGAUAAUGCUACUUGCAAUAAUGGUGUAGUGGAUAAUUUAAAGAAUCAUUUGUCUUUGAUGUGUUCACUAGUUUGCGAGGGAAAGUAUCUUCAUGUCCAUUGUGGGAAUCAUGUUUUGAACUUAAUUGUUAAGACGGGCUUAGAGAAGGCUGAUGCAGCUAUUGCAAAAAAGUAGAGGUGUUAAGUAUAUCAAGAAUUCAGAAACAAGAAUAAUGAAAUUUGUGGAGUGUCUGAGUAAUCUUGGUCUACCAUGUUCUAAGAAGCUACGCCAAGAUAUGCCUAUUAGGUGGAUUACACUUAUCAAAUGCUUGAAAGUGCUCUUCAAUAUCAGGAAGCUUAAAUUCACUAUAACUUGCUUGACAUUGAUUUUAAACACGGGCUUUCUGAAGAUGAAUGGAAAAGGGAUCUUCAAUAUCGGGAAGCUUACAUUCACAAUAACUUGAUUGACAUUGAUUUUAAACACGGACUUUCUGAAGAUGAAUGGAAAAGGGUCGAGUUUAUAGCUAAGUUUCUUAAACCAUUUUAUGACAUUACGACUUUUUUUCUGGAUGUAAGUAUCCCACGGCUAAUUUGUAUCUUCCUAAUGUAUGGAGAAUUGAAAUAUUGUUGGAAGAAAAAAAAUAGUAGAGAUUCAGUGAUGAGUGAGAUGGACACUUCAAUGUUGGUGAAGUUUAAGAAAUAUUGGGAGUCAUAUAGUGUCAUUUUAUCUAUAGCUAUUGUCCUGGACCCUCGAUACAAUUUGAAGUUUGUGAAGUUUGCUUUUUAAAGCUUCAUCCCGAGGAGAUUGCUAAUGAAAAAGUAAAGGUUAUUGAACAUAACCUACAAUUGUUGUUCAAAGAGUACUUAAUACCUUCGACUAUAGCCUCAUUAUUAGGGGAUCAUGCUUGUAGCAGUGGUAGAAAUGAAUGAGGGAUGCAUUUGGUGAGUUUGAUGAAUUUCAGAGUCAAUUGGAGUCCAGUACAGGCAAAACACAACUAAGGGAUGCAUUUGAUGAGUUUGAUGAAUUUGAGAGUCAAUUGGAUUCAAGUACAGGUAAAACACAACUAGACCCUUGACCGUAAAACAAAAUCGAAUCUAGAUGUACUUGGAUUUUGGAAGGAUAGCAGGCAUAGAUAUGCAAAACUCUCAUCAAUGGCACGAGAUGUUUUGAGUAUUCCUAUCACCACAGUAUCUUCUGAAUCUACAUUUAGCAUUGGUGGUCGUGUCAUUGGAAGGUUUUGAAGUUCUAUUAUUCGCGACAAUGCUGAGGCAAAGCUAUGUACUAGGGCUUAGGUCUGUGGAAGAGAAGGUAAAUUAAUCUUCUCUAGCUUGAUUUAUUUUAUGUUUUUAAUAACUAAUAAGUUGUAAUAUGUUAUUUUUUUCUUCUUAAAUUGUUUAAGACCUUGAUGAUGGAUCCGACUUUGAAGAUGAUGAUGAGAUUGUUGUUGAUCUUCAACCUUAUCUUGCGAAACGUAGAGGUAAAACCUUAUCAGGCUUGGGAUUUUAAGCUGUUUCUCCUUCUGAGAACUUGAGCUUUGAAGUGAUUUUUUCUGGUGAGUUUUCUGGGAUAUUAUAUUUGUGUGCUUUUUGUUCAGUUGUUGCUCUCAUUAAAUGGAAAGACUGCCUUGACAUAUGGUUUAUUGAGAAUUGUCUUUGCUGGAAACUCUACUUGACAUAUAGGAGACAAAAGUGCUUAUUUUCAGUUGAAUAAGCAUUUUGUGCUUCAAGAUUAAGAAUUCAGUGGCUCUUCCUAUAGUUUUCCUCCCUUUCCUUCUAAUAGUGGCUCUUCUCUAUGCUAUACCAGUUUACUGGCUAGUCAGAUUAAGGCACGACCAGUGCAUUCACGUACUAUACUCUCGUGUCAGCACUAGUGCCAAAUUUCAUCCUUGGAAUGUCAUUUAUCGGUUGUCUCGUAGGUGCAUAUUUCCUGUUCUCGGGGUACUUUAUAUCGAAGGAAUCAAUUACCGUUUUCUAGCUAUUUUGCACUAUGUGAGUCUGUUUAAGUAUCCAUUUGAGUAUUUCUUGAUCAAUGAGUAUGGAGGAGAGAAUGGUAAAGUGAAGUCUAUACAGAAAGUUGAUGGAGUUUGCUUUAAUAUAUGGUGAACAGUUAUUGGCGCGACGCAGUUUAGAGGAGUGACAGAAGUGGUAUAACAUAAGUAUUAUGUUAAGUUUCAUCUUUGGUUACAGGUUUUUGUGUUUUCUGAUUCUCUGGCAUAGUUCUAUCAGAAAUAAAUGUUGAAAUGACUAACAAAAUUUCCUUUCAUCUAUGAAAAUCUUAGUACAUUAGUUUGAUUUCUUUUAGAAUUUUCCAUAUAUUACAACUUGUAUAGCUCCUUGAGGAUUUGAUCAUCAUUGGAUGAAGGGGGAAAUAAUACUUCUAUAGGAGACUAAAGUGCUUAUUUCCAGUUGAAUAAGCACUUUGUGUUUCAAGAUUAAGAACAUCAGCUAUUUUGUGAACAAUUAAGAACAGAAGAAAUGUAGGGGUUGUACCGAGGAGAUAAUGAGUUUGUUUCAAGAUUCAAAGAUGACUGACAAUUUGAACACUAGUUAUCCAGAAAAAAAGAAGAAAAAGACAGUAAUAUUAAUAUUAUAUACUAUUACGUAGAAGUUGGCAAAGUAAAGGACAUUGCAUUAUUACUUUCUUAUGUGACAUAGCUAGCAUUCUGCUUGCUGGAUCAUAUUUUGUUUCGAUUCUCCCUUUGUCAAGUUGACCACGUGUAACACUCAUUUCCUUUCUCCCCGUGUCCGGUAUUUAUAUUCUAACUUUUCAACAUCUUCCUCCGCACAUUCAUUAAUGAACUUUCUUUCCAGCAUUUUUGCUACUUGUAAGCACAUUUGAUGGAUUACUUAACUCUCUAUUAUCCAGUGAGAGGGAUGAUGUAUUGAUGUUGCCAUGGCUGAAUCAUGUAGGUAGAAGUAGAUUAUGUUAGUUAUCUCCUGAUUGUUGUGAUGACGUCUUAUCUCAACUUUGUUAGGAUUUAUGCCCGUCACUAGAGGGGGGGUGAAUAGUGAGGCACGAGAAUGUCGGUAAAUUUUGCGGAAUUAAAAUUGCAGGAUUAAAGUAGGUGCAGUAAUUAAAAGAGUAAGAAGAGGACACACCGAAUUUAUACUGGUUCGCCACAACGUGUGGUUAGUCCAGUCUCUCGAGAGACUCUCUCGAGUUUACACUAACUCCGUUAAGCUUACGGGUGCCUAACAAACCGUUACACAUGCUCGUAGAUGUACGCUCUACAAGACUUCAACUUGCUCGAGGAUACCUCACCUCAAGACUUCACACACUAAGAUUGAAGGUACUUANNNNNNNNNNNNNNNNNNNNNNNNNNNNNNNNNNNNNNNNNNNNNNNNNNNNNNNNNNNNNNNNNNNNNNNNNNNNNNNNNNNNNNNNNNNNNNNNNNNNNNNNNNNNNNNNNNNNNNNNNNNNNNNNNNNNNNNNNNNNNNCGAGAGACUCUCUCGAGUUUACACUAACUCCGUUAAGCUUGCGGGUGCCUAACAAACCGUUACACUUGCUUGUAGAUGUACGCUCUACAAGACUUAACCUUGCUCGUGGAUACCACACCACAAGACUUCCUGCUCAGGGAUACCUCACCUCAAGACUUCACACACUAAGAUUGAAGGUACUUAGCAAACCCAACGCUCAAUGAGAAGAUAUGGUCUUCUCAAGAACCUUUCUCUUUUACAACAAGAACUCUCUAAGAAGAGUAAAUAAAGAGAUACAAUUUAAGCUCUAUGAACAACACAAAGUUGUCUCUCAAAAUGGCUCAACAAAAGCUCUAAAUAUGAUGCACAAAUAUUAUCAAUAUGUUUAUGAAUAAUGAGAGAUGUUGUUGCACCAAAAUAAGCUCUAAAGACCUCUAUUUAUAGGGUGUGGAGGUUAUAUGUCCGUUGCUUCAUAGUCAAUCACUAAUGCUGAUUUUAAGGAAGAAUAAUCGAUUAUUUUAAGUACAUAAUCGAUUAUCUUUUUAAUGUUCAAAAAACUAGUCGUUGGAUGGCAACGGUCAGCAAGAUAAUCGAUUAUCUCAAUUGAAUAAUCGAUUAUUGUGUCAUUCUGGAAUUUCCAGUUUAAGCUGGAAAUUGAACAUAAUCGAUUAUGCAAUUGAAUAAUCGAUUAUUGUGUCAUUCUGGAAUUUCCAGUUUAAGCUGGAAACUCAAGAUAAUCGAUUAUCACAUUUAGAUAAUCGAUUAUCUGGCCAUUCUGUCUAGAAGUGAAAACCAAGUUCAAAAACCAUUUUGGCUAAAAUGAAAACGUUAAAAAUUAUUUUGUUUGAAGUAUAUGAAAAUGUUUAUGAUAUUUAUGGUUUGAUAAAAUGAUUUUAUGCAUAUUAAUGAUGACAUAUGUUGAGCCAAAAGACGAGAUAACUUAAACGUUCCUCUUACAUUGGUUCUACCUAGCGACCUAUGCCUUGUGUCUUCGGUCUUGAACUUUUGAGCUCGUCUUGGCUUUUCCAUGCAAUCCAUUCAUCAAUAUGCUUCUCGGCAUUCAACUACGCCUUGGGUCUUCGGUCUUGAACUUUUGAGCUCGUCUUGGCUUGUCUAUGCAAUCCCUUCACCAAUAUGCUUCUUGGCAUUCAAUCUUCAUUUGUUUGAUUCAUCAUAGUUGAUUUGUCAACCAUCUUGAUCGUUUGCUAAUGCAUCUUCAUUGUUUGUCAUACAAUAUCAUUGUUUGACAGUUGACUUCAUUGUUUGUCAUUCAUCAAAACCUAUACUUGGGAAUCAUGCUAAUACAACCAAAGAACACAUAUCAAAGGUAUCAAUGAUUUCCAACAAACUUAGCAGUAUCUUCUAAUCUUAACUUUUAACAUGUGACACUGUCAAUUUCUACCGUUAAACCAGUGCAGAUAUGCAUUUACUGGGCACUUGACCACCAAAUCAGAUGUUUACAUACGGUGUUGUCCUCCUAGAAUUAUUGACCGGUAGAGUUCCAGUUGAUAUGAAGAGACCUCCUGGUGAAUGUGUUCUUGUUUCUUGGUAAUAUCUGAUAUUAAAGCUACCCUUCAAAUUUCUUAGGUACUAUUUGUGGUCAGCUUCAUGGAUUCUCCACAGUCUGCUUUCUGCCACAAGUUGCAUCGGCUACCAUAAUAUUUUUAUCGUCUUCAAAUGACUGCUGUCAAUUGGAUACACUAUUACAAUGUCUAAAGGGUCUAGUUUUGUGCAUUUUGCUUUGCAAACACUUUAUAAGUAUUUGCCGAUGGUUAAAAUAUAUUCUGCUGGUACAUUUUGCUUUGUAAACACUUUAUAAGCAUUUUUCGCAUGUUGUUGGAGAUGCUCAAGAUAGUAACUCAAUCUGACUCUGGUGUGCAUUUAUGGAGUAUUUGGGACAGGCGGUUGUUGUCCAAUUUCGAUAA
Molecule: long non-coding RNA, 6565 nt
Filed under: Nicotiana benthamiana
Lineage: Eukaryota; Viridiplantae; Streptophyta; Magnoliopsida; Solanales; Solanaceae
Description: long non-coding RNA (NBEN_LNC024447)
Source: RNAcentral